This 514-nucleotide ribosomal RNA is filed under the name uncultured bacterium. Its description in RNAcentral is "partial 16S ribosomal RNA". It matches the Rfam family "Bacterial small subunit ribosomal RNA", at positions 28 to 523 of the family's 1533-position model. The record is from RNAcentral.
GAUGAACGCUGGCGGCGUGCCUAAUACAUGCAAGUCGAGCGAACUGAUUAGAAGCUUGCUUCUAUGACGUUAGCGGCGGACGGGUGAGUAACACGUGGGCAACCUGCCUGCAAGACUGGGAUAACUUCGGGAAACCGAAGCUAAUACCGGAUGGGAUCUUCUCCUUCAUGGGAGAUGAUUGAAAGAUGGUUUCGGCUAUCACUUACAGAUGGGCCCGCGGUGCAUUAGCCAGUUGGUGAGGUAACGGCUCACCAAGGCAACGAUGCAUAGCCGACCGGAGAGGGUGAUCGGCCACACUGGGACUGCGACACGGCCCAGACUCCUACGGGAGGCAGCAGUAGGGAAUCUUCCGCAAUGGACGAAAGUCUGACGGAGCAACGCCGCGUGAGUGAUGAAGGCUUUCGGGUCGUAAAACUCUGUUGUUAGGGAAGAACAAGUACAAGAGUAACUGCUUGUACCUUGACGGUACCUAACCAGAAAGCCACGGCUAACUACGUGCCAGCCGCCGCGGUAA